GCAAGAAACCCAGCUCUACCGCCUAAAACCCAUGUAACAACUUUGUUUAACAAAAUAAAACAUUUUAAACACCCAGUAAAGGCGAUUAAAAAGUGUCUAAGAGCCUUAGAAACAGUACCGCAAGGGAACAGUGAAAUAGAAGUGAAAUAAUUUUAAAGCACCAAUAAAGCAGAGCUUAAACCUCGUACCUUUUGCAUCAUGGUCUAGCCAGUCUAAUCAAGCAAAAAGAAAUUUAAGUUUGACUCCCCGAAACUAAGUGAGCUACUUCAAAACAGCCUAAAGGGCCAACCCAUCUCUGUUGCAAAAGAGUGGGAAGAUUUUUAAGUAGGGGUGACAGACCUACCGAACUUAGAGAUAGCUGGUUAUUCAGGAAAAGGAUCUUAGUCCUACCUUAAGCCCCCCCCCCCCCCCCCCCCCACUGAAUGAUUCUAUAAUACACAUAGAAAACUGUAUGCUAGAACUAGUAAUAAGAAGAAGACCUUCUCCUAAAUAUAAGUGUGAGCCAGAAUGAACAGCUCGCUGGCAUAUAACGCAACUGAAUCAAUAGUAGCAACUACACAAGAAAACCCUACCAAAACACGCGUCAACCUUACACUAGCAUAUUACAGGAAAGAUUAAAGAGAAGGAAGGAACUCGGCAAACCACUACCCCGCCUGUUUACCAAAAACAUCGCCUUUUGAAAUAGAUAUAAAAGGUCCAGCCUGCCCAGUGACUAAAUUAAACGGCCGCGGUACCCUAACCGUGCAAAGGUAGCGCAAUCACUUGUUCUUUAAAUAAGGACUAGUAUGAACGGCAUCACGAGGGUUAUACUGUCUCCCUCCUCCAAUCAAUGAAACUGACCCCCCCGUGAAGAGGCGGGGAUAAUUAUAUAAGACGAGAAGACCCCUUGGAGCUUAAAACUCAGAACCAACUACCUAAUCUCACCCCAUCAUUAACCGGGUAGCCUCUGGUUUCUAGUUUUCGGUUGGGGCGACCACGGAGUAAAACAAAACCUCCACGAUGAAUGAACCAACUUUCCUAAUCACAGAGCAACAGCUCAAAGAAUCAAAAAAUUGACAUAAUUGACCCAAUUAAUUUUGAUCAACGAACUAAGUUACCCUGGGGAUAACAGCGCAAUCCACUUCAAGAGCCCCUAUCGACAAGUGGGUUUACGACCUCGAUGUUGGAUCAGGGUAUCCUAGUGGUGCAG
Molecule: ribosomal RNA, 1189 nt
Filed under: Kaloula kalingensis (Kalinga narrowmoouth toad)
Lineage: Eukaryota; Metazoa; Chordata; Amphibia; Anura; Microhylidae
Description: partial 16S ribosomal RNA
Rfam family: Bacterial large subunit ribosomal RNA
Source: RNAcentral